This 356-nucleotide long non-coding RNA is filed under the name Mytilus galloprovincialis (Mediterranean mussel). Lineage: Eukaryota; Metazoa; Mollusca; Bivalvia; Mytilida; Mytilidae. The record is from RNAcentral.
UCGCGUCCAUGUGCUUUGUAUUUUGAUAAAAAGAGAAAGAACCUGCUUUUUGCAAAGAUAAGUGGACAAGCCAUUGUUUAUAACGAUUCAUAGAAGGGAGGAAAUGUAUCUCGCUGUCUAAUAUCCGACUUUAAGGCAUUUGCGACCAUUCAAUGUUUAGACAAAAAUCAGUUCAAUUUAUUGGACAACUAUCUGUCGGACUUUCAUAUCUACACUGGAUCAUAAGUUGUGAUCUCUUGUCAUAACUUUCUGAAUAUGUAGUUAUAUUGGUUUGAAUGUCAGUUUCUGCUUAUCCGGUGAUAUAAUUCGUUUCAAAGUGCCACUUACAACUUAAAUUAAUUCAUUUUGAAUAAAAG